AUGAGGAGGAGUGCCAGGCAAAACCAGCAGACCUCUGCAAUUGAAGAAGAUGAUGGAGCAAGUGAUAGUGAUGAUGAAGAUUAUGAACCUGAUAUGCUUGUGGACAGUGACAAUGAGAUAGGGGAUGAUGAUGAUGACUUGUAUGCAGAUAAUGUAGAUGAGGAUGAACCUGAGCAGAGAGAUGAAAAGAAAUCAAAUGAUAAAGCAAAGCAAAAAGGGAAAGAGAAAGUAGUCCUACCAAUCAACAAAAAGGGAAAGAAGCAUACCAGUCUGAUGAAGACAUGUCAGAAAAUGAUGAUUUGUGGGCUCCUGAUUCAGAUGAUGAAGAGCUCAAUUUGA
RNAcentral lists this ribosomal RNA (339 nucleotides) under Triticum aestivum (bread wheat). RNAcentral's name for it is "partial small subunit ribosomal RNA". Lineage: Eukaryota; Viridiplantae; Streptophyta; Magnoliopsida; Poales; Poaceae. The record is from RNAcentral.